CUACGUGCCAGCAGCCGCGGUAAUACGUAGGUGGCAAGCGUUGUCCGGAAUUAUUGGGCGUAAAGCGCGCGCAGGCGGAUUGGUCAGUCUGUCUUAAAAGUUCGGGGCUUAACCCCGUGAUGGGAUGGAAACUGCCAAUCUAGAGUAUCGGAGAGGAAAGUGGAAUUCCUAGUGUAGCGGUGAAAUGCGUAGAUAUUAGGAAGAACACCAGUGGCGAAGGCGACUUUCUGGACGAAAACUGACGCUGAGGAGCGAAAGCUAGGGGAGCAAACAGGAUUAGAUACCCUGGUAGUCCUAGCCGUAAACGAUGGACACUAGGUGUGGGGGAAUAUUUCUUCCGUGCCGCAGCUAACGCAUUAAGUGUCCCGCCUGGGGAGUACGGCCGCAAGGCUAAAACUCAAAGGAAUUGACGGGGGCCCGCACAAGCGGCGGAGCAUGCGGAUUAAUUCGAUGCAACGCGAAGAACCUUACCAAGGCUUGACAUGC
This 486-nucleotide ribosomal RNA is filed under the name uncultured bacterium. RNAcentral's name for it is "bacterial SSU rRNA". It matches the Rfam family "Bacterial small subunit ribosomal RNA", at positions 501 to 989 of the family's 1533-position model. The record is from RNAcentral.